GUCUGGUGGGUAGUUUGACUGGGGCGGUCUCCUCCUAAAGAGUAACGGAGGAGCACGAAGGUUGGCUAAUCCUGGUCGGACAUCAGGAGGUUAGUGCAAUGGCAUAAGCCAGCUUGACUGCGAGCGUGACGGCGCGAGCAGGUGCGAAAGCAGGUCAUAGUGAUCCGGUGGUUCUGAAUGGAAGGGCCAUCGCUCAACGGAUAAAAGGUACUCCGGGGAUAACAGGCUGAUACCGCCCAAGAGUUCAUAUCGACGGCGGUGUUUGGCACCUCGAUGUCGGCUCAUCACAUCCUGGGGCUGAAGUAGGUCCCAAGGGUAUGGCUGUUCGCCAUUUAAAGUGGUACGCGAGCUGGGUUUAGAACGUCGUGAGACAGUUCGGUCCCUAUCUGCCGUGGGCGCUGGAGAACUGAGGGGGGCUGCUCCUAGUACGAGAGGACCGGAGUGGACGCAUCACUGGUGUUCGGGUUGUCAUGCCAAUGGCACUGCCCGGUAGCUAAAUGCGGAAGAGAUAAGUGCUGAAAGCAUCUAAGCACGAAACUUGCCCCGAGAUGAGUUCUCCCUGAGACUUAAAGUCUCCUGAAGGAACGUUGAAGACGACGACGUUGAUAGGCCGGGUGUGUAAGCGCAGCGAUGCGUUGAGCUAACCGGUACUAAUGAACCGUGAGGCUUAACCCUACAACGCCGAAG
RNAcentral lists this ribosomal RNA (687 nucleotides) under Salmonella enterica. RNAcentral describes it as "partial 23S ribosomal RNA". It matches the Rfam family "Bacterial large subunit ribosomal RNA", at positions 2256 to 2925 of the family's 2925-position model. The record is from RNAcentral. Lineage: Bacteria; Pseudomonadati; Pseudomonadota; Gammaproteobacteria; Enterobacterales; Enterobacteriaceae.